GAUUGGAGAGCCCUGCUGCGUUUUCUGUUCCCUGCUGGUUUUCAUACGGGGCCUGCUUUUUAUCAGAGCACCUGCUGAACAUCCAGCCAGGGCCUCGUGGAAAGUAAAGUAGCGCUCUUGAGCCUUGGAUCGGUGGCUUUGCUAGAGCAGACGUUUCAUGGAGGGGCUGAUGGAUGUCCAAGAGGUUGUGUUUCUCUCAAAAAUGAAGAAACUCCACAGCGCCCCUGUGGGUUUGCCGGGGCGAAGAUCUGCUGUGCUUCUUUUAGGCCCUCGGUAUGGCACUUUGAGGUGAAAUAUGGCUCUAUUUAAUGUCACUGGUUUCUUGAAGCUCUGAGUUUUCUGGGACCACAAGUUUUACUUGAAGACCUUCUCCGAUCAAACAACUCUGCCGCUGCAGCUUGAAAACAACCACAGACAACACACACACAAAUCCAGCGUGGCUGUGUUCCGACGCAAUUUGACAAAAACAGGCACUGGCCAGACUUGGCCCAUGGACUGCAGUUUGCCAGCCUCUGAACUUAGAGGAAAAAAAUUGGAAGAAUGGAGUGAACCUUGAGCACAGGGAGGAGCAGGCACUGAAGCUGUCUGUGUGCUCUUUUCCUGUCUUGAUGGAGAACAAGACAUUUGUAUGCUUUCACAAAACAAAGACAAGUGUAACUGUGAGUUCAAAGAUUACAUCAUUGAUUUCAGUAGUGUUGAUACUUUAAGCAUUUGCUAUGUUUCCUCUGAGCUAUUGGGACAUUACACUGAGAUGCAGUCGGUGGUAUGGGGAGGUGCUCAGGGGUUCUCCUCUCUGCCCUCACUGCUUGGUGCUUACAGACAGCUACUGAAGCAGUGCCUUUCAUGCUGGGGAGCCUGACUAUUUGCAGGUUGUUAAAUCAAUUUAAUGGGUCGUGGUCUGCAUUUGAAAGAAUAGAACUGGCUCAACUUCCUUGGGCUAGAAUGGAAAAUCACAAGGUACAUCCUUUAUAGUAUUUUGUGAAUUUUUGUUGUACACUUGAACAUAUAUAAACAUAUAUGGGAUGCAUACAUAAUAAAGAACUAUUAGGGGAAAAUCAAGCUGUUUUUUGUAAAGUUAAAACUUUGGAAAGAGUAUAGUCGAGUCACAAACUUUUCUCUGUUAAGUUAUACCUAGAUGUGAUGAUUGUGAAAAAUUGGCAAACAAAAACUCUAGAAAAAGUUUGCAUUCAGAUUGUUUCCCAAUGGCUUCCUAAGUUACUGAAAGACAUCUCAACUAGAAUUUAGGAAUAGACACUUUCAGUGUUAU
RNAcentral lists this long non-coding RNA (1267 nucleotides) under Homo sapiens (human). Its description in RNAcentral is "HSALNT0206764". The record is from RNAcentral. Lineage: Eukaryota; Metazoa; Chordata; Mammalia; Primates; Hominidae.